Carlito syrichta (Philippine tarsier) is the source of this 399-nucleotide long non-coding RNA. RefSeq lists it as uncharacterized. NCBI's taxonomy places the organism in Eukaryota, Metazoa, Chordata, Mammalia, Primates, Tarsiidae. The record is from RefSeq and is a predicted model, not a curated record. The transcript is spliced from 4 exons.
GCAUGCUGUGUCUGUUCCUCCCUCCAGUGACUCGCUGACAGCUCAAGCCAGAUUCCAGACCCCAAGGCCCCCGGCCCCGCCGCCUGACUUUUUUCCUGUGGUUCCCGUAAAUGAGAACUCAGGGAAUCCUCCUGAAAAGCAGCCGGGCUCAGCCAAUAAAUCCUCUGAUGCUGUGAGUGGUCUGAGCAGAGACACCGACCCUGACGAUGGAGACGUGACGGUUUCCUUGAGGGGCUGACUUGAAGGACGCGUUUUCCAGGGGAAGAGAAGAGGAAAUGGAAUUUGCAGAGGGAACGGAAUUUGCCAAGGUCCUGGGCGCUCGUGUGCCGGGAAGUCUCCAUGAGGCCAGCAAAAAUCCUCGGGGAAAGGCCCGCAGGCCCUGAGGGUUGGAAUCAGCCA